CGGCGGUCGGCCCGCGCUCGGCGGGGCGGGGCCCCUCGCUGCGAGCACAAACUGGGCACCUGCGACUGAAAAAAAGCGAUUUUAACCGCAGCUCGGCGUCUCCCCCCAUUUARAGGGCCAAGUAGCAGUUCAGCCAUUGUGUGCAAAAGCCUACAAGAAUAUAUGAUGCUGGCUGGCAAGGGAGUAUUGCUGCAGAACCAGCAAAGCAAAAUGGUUGCUGAAACAUCCAUUAUCCACCAAAGGACAAGCUAUUGAUACAUUUUUGUACCCAAAAGACAGCAAUAUAAUGAUACUAUUUCAGUUGAUUGUAUUAAAAUAUAUGUAAUUAUUCUGUCCAUGAAUGUUGAUUUUGGAAGAGUUUGUGCCUAAAUCUACAGCUUUCUGAAAUAUUUGAUACUUUGUUCUCCAAGUAAAAUUGUUUUAGCCACUUAUGUCAGCUUCCAUGUCUUCUGUAAUACCUGGAUUGAUACAUUUUCAAGGCAUAAAUGUAUCUCAUAAUUAGAACAGUUCAGUAGUGCGCUUAGCUAUUUAGAUCGUUGGAUCAAAAUCUGAUGUGAUAGUAGAAUAAAUAAUAAUCAAGACAAAGUCUUUCA
RNAcentral lists this long non-coding RNA (593 nucleotides) under Dromaius novaehollandiae (emu). RNAcentral's name for it is "lncRNA (ENSDNVG00000017389.1)". The record is from RNAcentral. Lineage: Eukaryota; Metazoa; Chordata; Aves; Casuariiformes; Dromaiidae.